This 4206-nucleotide long non-coding RNA is filed under the name Paramuricea clavata. Lineage: Eukaryota; Metazoa; Cnidaria; Anthozoa; Malacalcyonacea; Plexauridae. The record is from RNAcentral.
CAUUUUAGAGAAGAGUCUAGUUACUUGGAUAUGAGCAUAUCUUUUGUACGAUCUAAGAAAUAACUAUAUAAUAAAUUAAAAAAACGUCAGUUGACAGAGAAGUUGUUAACUAAGCGUCACGGGUUUGUGCCCAUUCCCCCACUCAACUAUAAUUAACCCCUAGCUCUAAUCUCACAUAAAAUAAUCCAUUUGCGACUUCUUGUUAAGGUAACUAACGACUCUGACGAUGGCUGCGAUGAACAGUUAUUCUGGAAUGGCAUUCCAAACAACGAAGUGUCGAAUAACAAAGGCUUUGGUGACAGUAGAGAGGAUAUGAAUGCAAAUGUUCAGCAAGAACAGUCGGUUUCAACUAAUGUACAAACAUGUUGAGGUAAAUGCGUGUAAAAACCGGGGGCCUGUUGUAUAAAAACGUAGUGAAAGUUAACUACAAUUAGCGUUACCACCCGUAGUUAAAUCCUUAACUGUAGUUAAUAGUUAACUAUAUGACUUAACUGCGUUGCACAAAACGUAGUUACUUGGGUAGUACUAGUUACUUGGGCUUUAUUAAAUUAAGUAAUGGGUGAUUAACAACCGCUGACAAGCAUUUUUAACAUGUUUGUGGACUCGCAUUCUGCAAAUCCGCGGGAAUUUGAUUCACAAUAUUGGAAAAUAAACAUUCCGUGAGGUAUCACGUUAAACGGACGUGUAGCUAUUUGGAAAUUAUAUAUCAUGUUUCCUGGUACAAUGGGUCCUAAUUCUUGUUAGAGAAAUUGAUUUUCCCGUGCAAAUAAUAUAUUCUGUUUUCGCUAAAAGACCAAAGCGAUAUAGCAUUUUAACAGUUUUUAACUGCCAGGACUAACAUUCGUAGGGAUGAUAUAGCGAUUGACAAUCCCUGGUAAGUGUUUCUUUUCAUUACUGAAAAUGCUGUUCACUCCUAACUGCAGCACCAUUUUUAACUACGUUUUCAGGAGUCAACGAUACCCUUGCGCACAGUUAACUUUAACUACUUUUUAACUUCUUUUUAACUGCUGUUAACCCGACACUGAAAAUAGGUAUUUGAAAUGACAAUUAUUUAUUUGCAGUUACGCUUCCCUCCGUCAUGCAAGGUUGUCGAUAAUUAGUGCCAAAUUUAACCAAUUCAUGAUCAGAAGAAAUCACGAAUAUUAUAUCAAUAUUGUACUUCCCCACUAAUUCACAUAUCACGUCGAAAUUAAGAUGCCCGCCAAGCAUGGAGAUAGAAAUCGUUACCUUACCAGGGCCCCCGAGAGAGGGGAGGGCACUUUGACCAAGGCCCCCAACUCAAACAGACCUCCAAAGCAGAGAAGGCCCUUAAAAAUCCUUAGAUGCAUUCGUUAGUGUCGGAUAAUAUUUAAUAAAUUAUAAAUAUAUACUGUAUUGUAAAACACCGCUUCUCCCUUUUUAGAAUUAUGACGUCAUAGGGGCCCCUUUGGAAAGUUUUUCCCCAGGCCCCGCGCAACUCUGGGCGGCCUUGUACAUUGCAUUCGAUCAAAAUGACGACUGUCUGUAUCUAUACGUAUAGCAGGAAUGUUUAAAUGUAAAAAUUUCCUAUAAUUUCAUUAUUGUUUUCUUGUUCUUUUUAAAUUUUGAAAUAGAACUUGAAAGUUAUAUUUUAAAAUUUAUUCCAAUUUGCAUUCCAUUUGUGUGGUUUGCAAAUUGUUUCUUUUUUUUUUCAACUCCAAUUUAUUAUUACUUUCCAAUUUUAGAAACGUUUGCAUCGAAAUAGUUGCAUCCAUAUCGCUACCAACAAAAGCUUGUUUAUACAUGAAUUGAAUGAGACACCACAACAACUUCGCAGAAAUAAGCAACGUUAUUUCAUUUCGUUUAACCCUCAGUAUGAGUGCCAAAACCAACACAGGCACAAUUUCCUCAGCCAAAAGGUCCGUUUACACUUGCAUUUUUUGCUGCGAGUUUUAGGGCGAUAUUCUUCUUCUGAACGAUGUGAACGAGUAGACGAAUUAUUAAUGUUCUGAGUAUAUGUACCCUCAUCUGAACAUUCAUAACGCAUCCACUCGUUUACAUGCAUCAGAAGAAGAAAAUCGGACCGAAAAUCGCACCUAAAGUGUGAAUGGGUUUUAACUGACAAAUAUUUUCCACGUACAACCACAAACGUCAAAAACUUUUUAACAGAGACGCAGUUAUAUGACACAAUGUAAUCAGGGCCGUAGCUAAGCAUGCAUAGUUGGGGGGGGGGGGNNNNNNNNNNNNNNNNNNNNGGGUGUUGGCCAAAAAUUUCCGAAUGACGAAAGAAAUUUCCGAAUAUUUCAUGGCAUACGAAGCCAAGAAGGUGUUUGCUAUCCGGAAAAUGAAAACGCAAUUUACAAAAAAAAAUACUCAUAUUUUACGCAUAGGCAUAUUACAGAAGCGUGCAGUUCUGUAGGAAGUUCUUUUUUACAAGGGGGUGGCGAGGGCCGAAGGCCCGAGGAAAUUUUUAAAUUUAGAGCCUCUGAAAUGCCAUUUCGUGGACUUUGGGGGAAGUUUUGACAGAAUUCUGAUGGUCGUAAAACAGAGUUUUAGCAAGUGGAAAUUUACAAUUAAUUUACUUACAUUUUAGAAGAACUAAAUGGGCGAAGGCGUAUAUGGGUAAUAUGAUUCUUUGCGGUUUGUCAUGGGUAAUGUAGCCGCUUAAAAUUAAUCAAUUGUCAGUAUUUUAAAGAUGUAUUGAGGGCUGUCCCCCNNNNNNNNNNNNNNNNNNNNCCCCCCCCGUUGCUACAGCCCUGGGAAGUAAUAAACCAAAAAACAUUUACCGAUCUACGAUUUGUUAAAUGUUAUCCAUGUAAAUGCCGUGAUUUUGUAAAUCAGUUUAUGAUACUGACAAUACAAUUUGAUAAUAUUUUCUCUGUUUAAUUAAUUAAACAACUAAAAUUUUGUUAUACUAUUAUUGCCGUAAUUUUCCGAAUGACCAACCUGAUUUUCCGAAUAUGUUAAUUUAAAAAAGUUGGGGGUUACCCCCCCCCCCCAUACCCCCUUCGCUACGGCCCUGAAGGCCGUAAUGUCCAUCAUUACCGCAAUAACGUAAUAAUGCACGUAUAGUUAGGAAAAUCAACCACGGAGCUACCAUGGUGCCAGAGGCUCUUUGCGAGGCGAAAUAAACGAGAAGCGAGAACGGAGAGCGUCUGGCCACAUCGAUUGCAAAUCCCACUUCCACACUUGAUUAGAUUCAGAAUUUGAAUCUCGCAUGUGAUUUGCUAUUUGUAAAAAUAUGUCAAACUCGUUAGGGAAAUAAACAUUACGUUAAACUAAUUAUAGCCUGUAUUAAAAUAUUCUAUUAAACUCAACCGCAUGAAUAUUAAUACACCUAUCUACUGAGAAAUUUGAUACCUUUUUCAUAUGAGUAUUUUUAAUACACUUUAGCAUUAUCACCAAAGUUCAAAAUGUCUGAAUUCGACCGGGCACUUUAUCUAAUUGAAUCGUAUUUGGCUCGCAAUUUUGAUAACUUUAUCUUUCCUGCGGAAUCUCCGAAGUGUUGAAUCGGCUAUAAUUACACUGUAUAUAAUUACAUAGAUUUGGUUUAUUGUUGCAUGAUAUUUUUCAUAUUGUAUGAAAAAUUUGAUUAAAAAUGACUCCUUGAAAAAGAGUUCAUAUAGGCGUCCACACGAAGGGCUACCGUUUUAGCUCUUUAGAAACUGCAUGCGUAUUAGUUCCAAAAUUCUGCGAGACAGCCCCCGGAAGUGUAUAUUAUUAACCACUGAUUCCGAAUAUAUAUAGGAUCCAGCAAUUAAAUUGACUUUAUAAGUGAAUUAAGGUUUUCUUUUCAUUGCUCUUGUAGAAAUGAGGAUCGACAUUUGCAAGAUAUAGACAGUUCAACAUCUGGAGAUCUCUGCUCUUUCGUCCUUAUCGUGGGAUAUUAAGUAAUUAGUUUUUUUUAUAGAAUAUUAAGUUUGGUAAAAGAAAAUACCACGUUUUAUAUGCGUUGGUAUUGUAUGUAGUGUACUCGUGGCGCAUAAGAAAAGAUCGGCCAUGCUGUUAAUAUACGUUUAGUCUUAGAAUAAUAUUUACUUCACGUAAACAUGUUUGCUUAUUGUAUACUAGAAAUGUUUAAUUUUGUCAGAUUUGCAGCAAGUCAAUCGAUCGUACGUAUAUAGGCCUAACAAGAACGUGAGCUAUUCUGCUACUUAACAGUACUUUAAAUUUAAUUUCGUGCUUAAUUCUGUACUUUAGUUUUAAAACUCAUGUUCAUCUAACGUUUUCGUAUUCAUAAUAUAUAAG